RNAcentral lists this ribosomal RNA (189 nucleotides) under uncultured Sphingobacteriales bacterium. RNAcentral's name for it is "partial 16S ribosomal RNA". It matches the Rfam family "Bacterial small subunit ribosomal RNA", at positions 338 to 524 of the family's 1533-position model. Lineage: Bacteria; Pseudomonadati; Bacteroidota; Sphingobacteriia; Sphingobacteriales. The record is from RNAcentral.
CCUACGGGAGGCAGCAGUAAGGAAUAUUGGACAAUGGUCGCAAGACUGAUCUAGCCAUGCCGCGUGCAGGAUGAAUGCCCUAUGGGUUGUAAACUGCUUUUAUACGGGAAUAAACCCCUCUACGUGUAGAGGGCUGAAUGUACUGUAAGAAUAAGGGCCGGCUAACUUCGUGCCAGCAGCCGCGGUAAU